GCCUAAUUGAAUUUAGCGCGCGGGAUCGCCUGGCCAGCAGCGCGGUAAUCGAGGUGCAGCGUACGAAUAUGGGUAAUGGUCGUAGGCGGCGAUAGUCAGUGCGAAAUCCGCAGCUAACUGUGAAACUGCAUUGAUACUGUCGUCUGAGUAAAUUUGAAGUGGCUGGAAUAAGUAGUGUAGCGGGUGAAAUGCAUAGAUAUUACUUAGAACACCAAUUGCGAAGGCAGGUCACUAAGAUUUAACUGACGCUGAGGGACGAAAGCGUGGGGAGCGAACAGGAUUAGAUACCCUGGUAGUCCACGCCGUAAACGAUGCUAACUCGUUUUUGGAUUUUCGGAUUCAGAGACCAAGCGAAAGUGAUAAGUUAGCCACCUGGGGAGUACGAUCGCAAGAUUGAAACUCAAAGGAAUUGACGGGGGCCCGCACAAGCGGUGGAUUAUGUGGUUUAAUUCGAUGAUACGCGAGGAACCUUACCAAGACUUAAAUGGGAAUUGACAGAUUUAGAAAUAGAUCCUCCUUCGGGCAAUUUUCAAGGUGCUGCAUGGUUGUCGUCAGCUCGUGCCGUGAGGUGUUAGGUUAAGUCCUGCAACGAGCGCAACCCCUGUCACUAGUUGCUAACAUUAAGUUGAGGACUCUAGUGAGACUGCCUACGCAAGUAGAGAGGAAGGUGGGGAUGACGUCAAAUCAUCACGGCCCUUACGUCUUGGGCCACACACGUAAUACAAUGGCCGGUACAGAGGGCAGCUACACAGCGAUGUGAUGCAAAUCUCGAAAGCCGGUCUCAGUUCGGAUUGGAGUCUGCAACUCGACUCUAUGAAGCUGGAAUCGCUAGUAAUCGCGCAUCAGCCAUGGCGCGGUGAAUACGUUCCCGGGCCGUGCACACACCGCCCGUC
This 893-nucleotide ribosomal RNA is filed under the name uncultured bacterium. RNAcentral describes it as "bacterial SSU rRNA". It matches the Rfam family "Bacterial small subunit ribosomal RNA", at positions 463 to 1398 of the family's 1533-position model. The record is from RNAcentral.